This 497-nucleotide ribosomal RNA is filed under the name uncultured bacterium. RNAcentral's name for it is "partial 16S ribosomal RNA". It matches the Rfam family "Bacterial small subunit ribosomal RNA", at positions 28 to 507 of the family's 1533-position model. The record is from RNAcentral.
GAUGAACGCUGGCGGCGUGCCUAACACAUGCAAGUCGAGCGAACGGACGAGGAGUUUUCUUGUAUGGUGUUGGCGGCGGACGGGUGAUGCACAUGUGGUUGGCAUACCUAUAAGACUGGGGUACCUACGCGGAACCGGAGCUACGACCCGAUAAUAUUUUGAACCGCGUGGUUCCAGCGUUGGAUACGCUCGUUCUUACGCUAAUAGCUGGAUCCGCGCUGCAUUAGCUAGUUGGUAGGGUGGCGGCUUACCAAGGCUACGAUGCAGAGCCGACCUGAGAGGGUGAUCGGCCACACUGGAACUGAGACACGGCCCAGACUCCUACGGGAGGCAGCAGUAGGGAAUCUUACGCAAUGGGCGAAAGCCUGAUCGAGCAAUGCCGCGUGAGUGAUGAAGGUCUUCGGAUCGUAAAGCUCUGUAAGUAGGGAAGAAGAGAUGUGUAUGUAUCUGUGCACAUCUUGACGGUACCGAAAGAAAAAGCCCCGGCUAACUCCGUG